RNAcentral lists this ribosomal RNA (990 nucleotides) under Acinetobacter baumannii. RNAcentral describes it as "bacterial SSU rRNA". It matches the Rfam family "Bacterial small subunit ribosomal RNA", at positions 66 to 1035 of the family's 1533-position model. The record is from RNAcentral. Lineage: Bacteria; Pseudomonadati; Pseudomonadota; Gammaproteobacteria; Moraxellales; Moraxellaceae.
GAUUGUGCGCGCGGGCGGGGUGGCUCGCUCUGGAUUUUUCGGCGGAGGGUGAGUAAUGCUUAGGAAUCUGCCUAUUAGUGGGGGACAACAUCUCGAAAGGGAUGCUAAUACCGCAUACGUCCUACGGGAGAAAGCAGGGGAUCUUCGGACCUUGCGCUAAUAGAUGAGCCUAAGUCGGAUUAGCUAGUUGGUGGGGUAAAGGCCUACCAAGGCGACGAUCUGUAGCGGGUCUGAGAGGAUGAUCCGCCACACUGGGACUGAGACACGGCCCAGACUCCUACGGGAGGCAGCAGUGGGGAAUAUUGGACAAUGGGGGGAACCCUGAUCCAGCCAUGCCGCGUGUGUGAAGAAGGCCUUAUGGUUGUAAAGCACUUUAAGCGAGGAGGAGGCUACUUUAGUUAAUACCUAGAGAUAGUGGACGUUACUCGCAGAAUAAGCACCGGCUAACUCUGUGCCAGCAGCCGCGGUAAUACAGAGGGUGCGAGCGUUAAUCGGAUUUACUGGGCGUAAAGCGUGCGUAGGCGGCUUAUUAAGUCGGAUGUGAAAUCCCCGAGCUUAACUUGGGAAUUGCAUUCGAUACUGGUGAGCUAGAGUAUGGGAGAGGAUGGUAGAAUUCCAGGUGUAGCGGUGAAAUGCGUAGAGAUCUGGAGGAAUACCGAUGGCGAAGGCAGCCAUCUGGCCUAAUACUGACGCUGAGGUACGAAAGCAUGGGGAGCAAACAGGAUUAGAUACCCUGGUAGUCCAUGCCGUAGACGAUGUCUACUAGCCGUUGGGGCCUUUUGAGGCUUUAGUGGCGCAGCUAACGCGAUAAGUAGACCGCCUGGGGGAGUACGGUCGCAAGACUAAAACUCAAAUGAAUUGACGGGGGCCCGCACACCCGGUGGAGCAUGUGGUUUAAUUCGAUGCAACGCAGAAGAACCUUACCUCGGCCUUGACAUACUAAAAAACUUUCCCAGAGAUGGGAUUUGUGGCCUUCGGGGAAUCUAAGAU